Globicephala melas (long-finned pilot whale) is the source of this 2823-nucleotide long non-coding RNA. RefSeq lists it as uncharacterized. The record is from RefSeq and is a predicted model, not a curated record. NCBI's taxonomy places the organism in Eukaryota, Metazoa, Chordata, Mammalia, Artiodactyla, Delphinidae.
UAUAUAUUUACAAUCAUUAUAUCUUCUUUCUUUGUCUCUUGUAACAGUCUUUAUUUUAAAGUCUAUUUUGUCUGAUAUGAGUUUUGCUACUCCAGCUUUCUUUUGAUUUCCAUUUACAUGGAAUACAUUUUUCCACCCCCUUACUUUCAGUCUGUAUGUGUCCUUAGAUCAGAAGUGGGUCUCUUGUAGACAGCAUAUAUAUGGGUCUUGUGUUUGUAUCUAUUCAGCCAGUUUGUGUCUUUUGGUUGGGGCAUUGAGUCCAUUUACAUUUAAGGUAAUUACUGAGAUGUAUGUUCUUAUGGCCAUCUUGUGAAUUGUUUUGGAUUUUGGAUUUGUUUUUGUAGGUUUUUGUUUUUCCCUUCCUCUUUUGUUCUCUCGUGCUUUGAUGACUAUCUUUAGUACUGUGUCUGGAUUGCUUUUGUGUAUGUGUGUGUUUAUCUAUUGUAGAUUUUUUGUUUGCAGUUGUCAUGACGUUUUGAUAUAGCAGUCUAUAUAUAUUAAGAAGAUUGUUUUAAAUUGCUGGUCUCUUAAUUUCAAAUGCAUUUCCAAUAUCCUGUAUCUGUACUCUCCUCUUCUCACAGUUGCUGGUUUUGAUAGCAUAUUUAUGUGGAUGAGUUCCUACCUUUACUGUAUGUUUGCCUUUUCUGGUGAGCUUUCCCAUUUCAUAAUUUUGUUUCUAGUUGUGGCCUUUUUCUUCCUAGAGAAGUUCCUAGGAACGUGUUGUAAAACUUCCAUUUGUUGUGAAGCUGCUUUGUCGGUGCUGAAUUCUUUUAGCUUUUGCUUGUCUGUAAAGCUUUUGAUUCCGCCAUAGCAUCUGAACAAGAGCCUUUCUGGGUAGAGUAUUCUUGGUUGUAGGUUUUUCCCUUUCAUUACUUUAAAUAUAUCAUGCUACUUCCUUCUUGCCUGCAGAGUUUCUGCUGAAAAAUCAGUUGAUGGCCUUAUGUGGAUUCCCUUGUAUGCCAUUUGGUGCUUUUCCCUUGUUGCUUUUAAUAUUUUCCUUACCUGUAAUUAAUUUUUGUCAAUUUCAUUACUGUGUGAAUCCGUGUGUUCCUCCUUGGGUCAGUCCUGUAUGGGACUCUCUGAGCUCCCUGGACUUGGGUGGCUGUUUCCUUUCCCAUGCUAGGGAAGUUUUCAAUAUUGUCUCUUCAAAUUUUCUCUCAGGCCCUUUCUCUCUCUCUUCUCCUUGUGGGACCCCUAUAAUGCAAAACGUUGGUGAAUUUAAUGUUGUCCCAGAGGUCUCUGAGACUGUCGUCAUUUCUUUUCAUUCAUUCUUCUUUAUUCUGUUCUGCAACAGUGAUUUCCACUGCUCUGUCUUUUCCAUUUGAGUUUCAAGGUGAAUGCAGCCUCAGCAGACAGACAACUCCACUGCAACCUCAUUCAUGAAAGAAUCUGAAUCAGAGGCAUUCAGCUAAGCCAUAUCUGGAUUUCUGACUCACAAAAACUGAACUGGAUUGGAGACAAGAUGUGGACUAGAAGGACCCUGAAGUAACCUCCUCUCAUGAGCACACCAAAGUCACAACGAACUGUUGGAGAGCCACUGAUAAAAAAAAAGACUGGAACCUACCAAAGAAAGAUAUUCUAUAUCCAAAGACCUAAAGAAGAAACCACAGUGAGAUGCAUUCAUCAUUUUGCAUCUAAUUGCUUAACAUGUCUGAGUCCCUUGCUAGACUGUGAGCCCCGAAGAAGAAGGAUCGUGCUUUCUUUGUCUCUGCAUCCUGCAGUCCCUGGAGUACCUUCCCCUGAGUAUACACCCAACGAAUCUUUGUCACAUAAAUUAAAGAUGAAGCAAUCUUGCCUUCCACUUUUUUUCUCUUGAGGUCUUGUUUCCAGGAGACGUUUGAUGAGUAACUCUCGGUCAACCCAGCAACACAAAGGCUGCCUGAAGCAUGAAGUGGUGGUGGUGGUGCUGGAGCAAUUGUGGAGGAGGUGCUGGUGGAGAAGGAGGAGGUGCUGGAGGCAGUGGAGCUGAUGGUGGCGGCGGCGGCAGCAGAGGUGGUAAGAGAGGAAGAAGAAAUGAAUAAACUGAGUUGUUCUACAAUACUGGAGUAACAACCAUAACUAGUUUGAUAAUGAGCAUAUAUUUGCAACAUUAAAAGUGCUUUAUGCAUUAUCAAAGAAGGAGUAAAUUAAGGGCAAUAUAGCUUUAGUUUUAAUUAUAUCACAUUGUCUUCUUAAUCUUGGAAUUUGGUUCAGUUAAAUAUAACUGUUUCAUCUACAAGUUUUUCCCAGUACUUUAAUUUCUUUAUUAGAACAUGGUAAUAUUAUAGGAUCUACAGUGAAUUUGGUGGCCAUGUGGCUUUUUUAGUUUCUUUAUAACUGAACAACCCAGAUGUUUAAACAUGUAAUACUGUUGGUAGAAAUUAAAUACAGAGUAAGCUGGUUAAUGCCCAAACCAGAAAAUUCAGUUAACUAGACUAAUUCCCCAACAUUUCUGAAAUAAUCAGUUUACUCACAUGUUAUGGGCGCUCUCUACGGCAUAUUGAGUUGAGCUAAACUGACUCUUCAUUUCCAUUUGUAUUAGUUUCCUAGGGCUGCUGCAACAUAGUACCACAAAUUGGGUGGCUUCAAACAACAGACAUUUAUUCUCUCACAAUUCUGGAGUCUAGAAUUCCAAAAUCAAGAUGUCAGCAGGGUCAUCCUCCUUCUGAGGGCUCUAGGAAACAGUCCUUCCUUGCCUCUUCUAGCCUCUGGUGGUUGCCAGCAACCCUCCACAUUCCUGGGCUUAUAGACCCAUCACUCUAGUCUCUGCCUCUUGUCUCAUGCAGUGUGUCUCUUGUCUGUGUCUCCUCUUCUUGUAAGGACACCAGCCAUACUGGAUUAAGU